This 445-nucleotide ribosomal RNA is filed under the name uncultured bacterium. Its description in RNAcentral is "partial 16S ribosomal RNA". It matches the Rfam family "Bacterial small subunit ribosomal RNA", at positions 354 to 796 of the family's 1533-position model. The record is from RNAcentral.
GUGAGGAAUAUUGCGCAAUGGAGGCAACUCUGACGCAGCCAUGCCGCGUGCAGGAAGAAGGCGCUACGCGUUGUAAACUGCUUUUAACCGGGAAGAAACCCCAGGACGUGUCCUGGGUUGACGGUACCGGAGGAAUAAGCACCGGCUAACUUCGUGCCAGCAGCCGCGGUAAUACGAAGGGUGCAAGCGUUAUCAGGAUUCAUUGGGUUUAAAGGGUGCGUAGGCGGAGCGUUAAGUCAGUGGUGAAAUCCUGCAGCUUAACUGUAGACUUGCCAUUGAUACUGGCGCUCUUGAGUGCGCUUGAAGUGGGCGGAAUGUGCCGUGUAGCGGUGAAAUGCUUAGAUAUGGCACAGAACACCAAUUGCGAAGGCAGCUCACUAAGGCGAUACUGACGCUGAGGCACGAAAGCGUGGGGAUCGAACAGGAUUAGAUACCCGGGUAGUCC